Molecule: non-coding RNA, 2677 nt
Organism: Macaca mulatta (Rhesus monkey)
Lineage: Eukaryota; Metazoa; Chordata; Mammalia; Primates; Cercopithecidae
Source: RefSeq, a predicted model, not a curated record
CUCAGGAAAUUGGGAACCUACCGUGUUCUGGAAUAACUGCUGGGAACAUGGCGAACUAUGUGGCCACUAUCCCUGAAAAGAUUCCAGAUACAUGGGACCAGGAUGGAAGAAUCCUAGGGCAUUUGAUUUACAUGGGGAUCUCUGGGAGAACAUAUACAGAGGCCGAAAGACGUACAAAUUUUCCAGAAAUGGCAGGUUUGGGGUAAACUUGAGAUCUGUUCCAUUGGAGGAAGGGUCCCCUAAACUCUCCUCACUUCACCACAUUCCACUACGUCAGUCCUGUCCCCCGGAGAGGGUUCUCAUCUGGCCAGGCUUCCAGGUAAGAAGUUGGCCCCUAAACUUCUUUUCUGAGCGUCCAAUGGACCCUUUCAGUGCCAGGAACUUUCCCAUUGGAUGGAGUUCCAUUGUUACUGACACGUUUCCUGUUGUGAUCUGAGGUUUACGUAUAAAAGCAGCUUCCACCUCAUGGACACCAACCAACAGGACUUCCGCCCCACUCUGCUAAAGGGGCUCUGAAGUGAGGCCGCUCGCAGCAACACUAGGUCCAGUGAGGCAGUGUGCAGAACACCAACACGCUCCAAGCCAGAUGUUACAUGGUGAGCCAGAAAUGCUUUCCCUAGAAAAGACGGACAGCAGAUGCCAGCUGGGCAUGAUGCCCUGCCGCCUGGGUCCUCCAGCUUGAGCAGGAAGUGACAGAACAGGGUGCCACCUCGGCCCCGCUGCAAGGACACAGCACAGUAAGAGACUGAGGGACCCCCAAAGUGCACACCCCAAGGUCUCUACUGUGAAGGUUUCCCCGGAGCAGAACCUCGGGGCAGAGCCUCUAAACACUGUGCUAGACUUGGUUUGUAGCUGGUGUUCCUUGAUGCUGGGAAGGGGCCUUUGCCCCAAAUGUGUGCCUCCACCCAAAUGAGGGAAGAUGGGCUGCAUGGAGGGCCAGGCAUGCAGCAUCCUGGGUAAUGGCUCCAGUACCUACUCAUCAAGUGACUCAGACCUGAUUCCCCAAAGGCAAGCAGAGCUGUGGGGGACACACCACUGGUCUGGGAGGACUCUUGGAAUCCUUAACAUUUUCUGUGUGGGACACCAUCAGAGAGCUGCUCUGCGGUUUGUGGAUUUCAGCCAUUCCUCCUGUCUGGGAUGACCUCAGCACGUCCGAGCCCGGAAGCCCAGGCUGGGAGGUUCCUGGGGUAGAACCAGGGAGGCAGGACCAGGGCUUCUGUGGAAAAGCUGCAGAAAGGCACCUGGCCUCCUGGUGUCCUAGUGCCAGGUGAGAUCUGCCUGCCUCUCUCGGUGAGGGGGGUGGACUAGAAGGGCAUUGACUGGGGAUCCCCGGGGGGUUGCUCUGAUUCCUGCUUGUGAAGGCAGCUGAUCCGGAAGGGGCAUUUUCCAUCAUGGCUUGAUACUCUUUCGUCCUUGGGAGAUCCUCUAAGCUGCCCUUAGCCAACAUGUGAGCACAAAUGGGUGUUCAGGGCUGCCCCUUGAAUGAGUGAAAACUUUCAUGGCCGUCCACAGAAAUACGGUGACCCACUGUCCCAAUGUGCCUGGAGUGCAGGAGUUUCCUGGGACAAAGAAACAUCCCAGGAUGGUUGGUCACCCGGCAUAGCCAGGGGGACUGCAGGCGUCCUGCCAGAGAGCUGGCGUGCUCACAGUGCCCAGGGGAGCUACACCAAACCUCUGGUGGUGCAAGGGUGGUGUGAGGGCACCCCUCCUGUGGCACUAGCACACCAGCCCUGCGGUAUGAUGCUGAGUGCAGGGAAGGGAAGCCAGGAAGGAUGAGGCAGGCUACCCCGCUGAGCUUCCUCUCUUUAGGGCUCCCCUGCCUACUUACUCAGCUGCUGGGCCUUUCUGUGCUUGGUAAAGAUGGGUCUGGGCCUCUGCCCAUCCUGCCCUGAUCCUCCCCCCCCCCGGGAGUGCUCUCAGAUGGAGCCAGGCUCCUGAGCUUCUCACAGGCUCACCUGGCCUGGACCUGCCCUUCAGGGAGAGGGGGAAGGCAGGAAGCAGGAGAGGGUUCUGGGGAGGAUGAUAUGGUCCCCGCUUUUCUCUGUGCCAGCACGUUCCUGUCUACAGGCCCUGGAGUCACCGUGGCUGGCUGAACCCACUGGGUGAGUGAGCUCUGAGGUAGGGUCAGGAAUUAGCAUGGGACUCCCAGGGGAGGAGAAGAAGAGGAAGAGGACAGGUGGACACUGGCACGGUGGGUGACAGGCAGGGGGCUAGGCCCCGAGGGGUGGGGUGCCCAGGAAGCACGUGAGCUCUAGCUGCUGCUCUCCUGUGGGUCCGCCCUGGCUGAAAGCUGAGUGGGAACUGUGGAAGGUAUGGGGCCUCUUGAGGGGCCCCAGAGAAUCUCAGAGCAGGCAGGGCCUCUGGAAGAAAGAUGCUGCUGUCCCUUGCACACCUGCCCUCUGCAGAAGGAAAACGUCCGGGUGGUACCCAGCCUGAGCACUGCCCACCCAGGCCGCGGAGCGAGGAGGAGGCAAUGGAGUUCGGAAAUGCACACGCUGCCUCUUGGUGGCUCAGUGGAGGGGAGGGGGCACUUGCUCCAGUGGUCUCCACUCCCGAAGGGAGUCAGCCCUGGCCCAGGCCUCCGCACCGCCCAUGGAGAAGGAAAGACAUACCAAAGAAAAAGCCAGUUACAGAUGAGCCCCGCACCCCUGCCCCCCAAUCCCCGUCCCCCGCCCCA